RNAcentral lists this ribosomal RNA (254 nucleotides) under uncultured bacterium. Its description in RNAcentral is "partial 16S ribosomal RNA". It matches the Rfam family "Bacterial small subunit ribosomal RNA", at positions 524 to 776 of the family's 1533-position model. The record is from RNAcentral.
UACGAAGGGGGCUAGCGUUGUUCGGAAUUACUGGGCGUAAAGCGCGCGUAGGCGGUUUUGCAAGCCAGAGGUGAAAUGCCUGAGCUCAACUUAGGAAUUGCCUUUGGGACUGCGAGGCUUUGAGGACGGGAGAGGUGAGUGGAAUUCCCAGUGUAGAGGUGAAAUUCGUAGAUAUUCGGAAGAACACCAGUGGCGAAGGCGGAUCUCUGGGCCUUACCUGACGCUCAGGUGCGAAAGCGAGGGGAGCGAACAGG